RNAcentral lists this unclassified non-coding RNA (203 nucleotides) under fungal sp. Its description in RNAcentral is "partial internal transcribed spacer region". The stretch from base 1 to 46 matches the Rfam family "Eukaryotic small subunit ribosomal RNA", at positions 1786 to 1831 of the family's 1831-position model. Lineage: Eukaryota; Fungi. The record is from RNAcentral.
AAGUCGUAACAAGGUCUCCGUAGGUGAACCUGCGGAGGGAUCAUUAACGAAUGAGCCCGAGUGGCCAUCCAUCUACACCAUACCCGUGGAUGUGAAGAGUGCUUCGGUGCCCCCCCGAUGGCGCCGUCUCUAUGCUGCUGAGACUUGACGUCUGAAACAAGAUCAGUGUCGAAAAACUUUCAACAAAGGAUCUCUUGGCUCUU